GACGAACGCUGGCGGCGUGCUUAACACAUGCAAGUCGAACGGAAAGGCCCUGCUUUUGUGGGGUGCUCGAGUGGCGAACGGGUGAGUAACACGUGGGUAACCUGCCCUUGACUUUGGGAUAACUUCAGGAAACUGGGGCUAAUACCGGAUAGGAGCUCCUGCUGCAUGGUGGGGGUUGGAAAGUUUCGGCGGUUGGGGAUGGACUCGCGGCUUAUCAGCUUGUUGGUGGGGUAGUGGCUUACCAAGGCUUUGACGGGUAGCCGGCCUGAGAGGGUGACCGGCCACAUUGGGACUGAGAUACGGCCCAGACUCCUACGGGAGGCAGCAGUGGAGAAUAUUGCACAAUGGGCGGAAGCCUGAUGCAGCAACGCCGCGUGCGGGAUGACGGCCUUCGGGUUGUAAACCGCUUUCGCCUGUGACGAAGCGUGAGUGACGGUAAUGGGUAAAGAAGCACCGGCUAACUACGUG
RNAcentral lists this ribosomal RNA (468 nucleotides) under uncultured bacterium. RNAcentral describes it as "partial 16S ribosomal RNA". It matches the Rfam family "Bacterial small subunit ribosomal RNA", at positions 28 to 507 of the family's 1533-position model. The record is from RNAcentral.